This 487-nucleotide ribosomal RNA is filed under the name uncultured eukaryote. RNAcentral's name for it is "SSU rRNA". It matches the Rfam family "Eukaryotic small subunit ribosomal RNA", at positions 557 to 1063 of the family's 1831-position model. The record is from RNAcentral.
AAGUCUGGUGCCAGCAGCCGCGGUAAUUCCAGCUCCAAUAGCGUAUAUUAAAGUUGUUGCAGUUAAAAAGCUCGUAGUUGAAGUUCUGAUUGCUCAGGUUUCCAGCCUUAGGCGGAGAUACUGACAGUCAUCCGCUUGCAAACAUAUGUUCGAUCUUCACCGGUUGGCUAUGUGAGUAAGCACUUUACCUUGAGAAAAACAGAGUGUUCCAGGCAGGUUUGUCCGGGAUGCAUUAGCAUGGAAUAAUAGAACAUGACUGAAGUCGAUUUAUUGGUUUAAGGCUUUAGUAAUGAUUAAUAGGAACAGUCGGGGGCAUUCGUACUCAGCAGUCAGAGGUGAAAUUCUAAGAUUUGCUGAAGACGAACUAAUGCGAAAGCAUUUGCCAAGGAUGUUUUCAUUAAUCAAGAACGAAAGUUAGGGGAUCAAAGACGAUCAGAUACCGUCCUAGUCUUAACUAUAACUAUGCCGACUCGGAUUCAGAUGAAUC